This 433-nucleotide ribosomal RNA is filed under the name uncultured bacterium. RNAcentral's name for it is "partial 16S ribosomal RNA". It matches the Rfam family "Bacterial small subunit ribosomal RNA", at positions 29 to 507 of the family's 1533-position model. The record is from RNAcentral.
AAUGAACGCUGGCGGCAUGCCUAACACAUGCAAGUCGAACGAGACCUCCGGGACUAGUGGCGCUCGGGUGCGUCACGUGUGGGAACCUGCACUUAGGUACGGAAUAACACUCCGACAGGGGUGCUAAUACCGGAUAAUGUCUUCGGACACCAGAUUGAUCUUCCUUGGAUGGGCACGCGAUGGUUUAGCUAGUUGGGAUGGUAAAAGCCUAUCAAGGCGACGCUACAUAGCUGGUCUGAGAGGAUGGGAAGCCACUCUGAGACGGGGACGCGGCCCAGAAUCCUACGGGAUGCGGCAGUGGGUGAUAUAGGACUAUGGGGGGAGUGCUGAACCAGCAAUGCUUCGUGAGUGAUGAAGUCGGGAGAGAUGUGAAGCUCGUUUACCCGGGAUGAUAAUGACAGUACCGGGAGAAUAAGCUCCGGCUAACUCCGUG